UCCGUAGGCGGGAAUCUAAGUCAGAGGUGAAAUCCUGCAGCUUAACUGUAGAACUGCCUUUGAUACUGUUGAUCUUGAGUCAUUAUGAAGUGGUUAGAAUGUGUAGUGUAGCGGUGAAAUGCAUAGAUAUUACACAGAAUACCGAUUGCGAAGGCAGAUCACUAAUAAUGUACUGACACUGAGGGACGAAAGCGUGGGGAGCGAACAGGAUUAGAUACCCUGGUAGUCC
This 229-nucleotide ribosomal RNA is filed under the name uncultured bacterium. RNAcentral describes it as "partial 16S ribosomal RNA". It matches the Rfam family "Bacterial small subunit ribosomal RNA", at positions 568 to 796 of the family's 1533-position model. The record is from RNAcentral.